RNAcentral lists this long non-coding RNA (894 nucleotides) under Marmota monax (woodchuck). The record is from RNAcentral. Lineage: Eukaryota; Metazoa; Chordata; Mammalia; Rodentia; Sciuridae.
GUGCCCUUGAUAACCAGGAUUCUCAGCAUGGGAAAAAAGAUAGGCUUAGAAAGAGUCCGCUGCCCCGGAUUUUACUUUGAAGUAUGAGUAAUCCCAGCAGCUGGAGGCUGAAGCAGGAGGAUGGAGAGUUCAAAGCCAGCCUCAGCGAUUAGUGAGACCCUAGUGAGACUCCCUGUCUCUAAAAAAAUAAAAAGGGCUGGAGAUGUGGCUCAGUGGGUAAGUGCCCCCCGCCUCAAAAAGAAAAAAAAAAGCAAAUGGAAAAAAAAUGUGACUUAAGCAAAACAAGAAUUUUUCACCUGGCAACCUGGAGGCAGGCAGCGCAGGCAGCGCAUCGCAACAGGCCCCUGAGCACAGGACCCGGCCCUCGGUGCUGCCCAGCCUCCUUCACCUGGCUUCUCCCUCAGAGUCUCAGCGUGCUCCAGGCCCAGCCUUCACGGCAGGCCAGUUGGGAGAAGAAUCUCAGCAGCAAGAGCAAGCUCCCGUUCUUUUCUUUUUCUUUUUUUUUUUUUUUUAAUGUGCUGUCCAGCUGCCCACGGCUGCUCUGAAAUUCUGGGUUCAGGCGAUGUUCCAGUCUCAGCUUGUUGAGUAGCUGGGACUACAGGUGCCUGCCACUGAUCAAGCUCCUUUUUUUUUUUUUUGGUGCUGGGGAUCGAAUCCAGGGGCACUUUACCACUAAGUCACACCCCCCAGCACUUUUUAUUUUUUAUUUGAAAGAAGAUCUUGCUUAGUUGCUGAGGCUAGCCUUGAACUUGCAAUCCACCUGCUUCAGCCUCCCAGAUCGCCGGGAUUACAGGCGUGCGACACUGUGCCUGGCUCAAGCUGCAUUUUUGAAGAGCAUGUCCUAGAAGACUUACAUACAAGGCAACUUUCCAUCCAGGCACCAGACAUGAUCAC